AGAUCUUAAUGUUCGAGUCUAUGCUCAUUGUACAAAUAGAAACAGUAGUAUAGGUUAUAAACCAGGCAGUAUAACGGUAUAUAUAAUGAAUAUUGGAAGUGAAACAGUAUCUGUUGAUAUACCAUUUAGUUCAAGUAAAACACAACAAAGAUAUAUUUUAUCACCUGGAGAUGAUAAUGGUUUAACCUCACAAUUUGUAAAACUAAAUGGAGUAGUUCUGAGGUUACCUAAUGAUUAUGAGUUACCUCCCUUGAGACCCCUCUACAGUCAAGGCACGCUCCAGCUAGAAGCCUAUAAUAUGGUAUAUAUCGUUAUACCAGAUGCUAUGAAAGCAGAAUGUCUUUAAUUGCUAAAACUCAAUUUAAGUUUUAAUAACUUCACACUACAACGUCAGCAGCAUGCCACGACUUACGAAUAAUACUCACACACG
Long non-coding RNA from Patella vulgata (common limpet), 430 nucleotides. RefSeq lists it as uncharacterized. The transcript is spliced from 3 exons. NCBI's taxonomy places the organism in Eukaryota, Metazoa, Mollusca, Gastropoda, Patellidae. The record is from RefSeq and is a predicted model, not a curated record.